AGAAUAAGUGAUUCAUUUGUCGUUUUGGAUGCAUUCAUGCAGUAGUCUAAUCUGUACAUCCGUAGAGCGUUAUGCUGCUUGUAGCUUCCAAUUUGGAAUCGCGGAAGUAACGGUGAUAAUAACUUUGGCAAUUGGCGAGGAAGUAUAUGAGUUCGAACACAGAUUUCUUCAUUGGGGCAAUAUAUUAAUUGAAAAAACCAACAAAAAACGUAUUUUGUACAAAUUUAACGGCAAGAAUUUUGCUGUUUGUUCAAAAGGAGUAAUCGUUACACUUAUUGACUACACCUUAUCAAGAGUUACUAUAGAUAAAUGUUGCCAUUUUAAUGAUCUCUCAACUGAUGCUGAACUUUUUACUGCAACUGGUGACUACCAAUAUGACAUUUACAGGAUGAUGCGAAAAAAACUGGGAAACAACUGGUCAUCUUUCGCUCCAAAAACAAAUGUGCUGUGGCUAUCAUAUUUAAUUUCGAAAUUACAUGGAAAUGUCAAGUACGAAAGAGAAAACACUAAAACACACAAAAUAAAUUUACUGAAGCUUCAGGAUUUGAAUAAUACUAUAUUUUCGUAUAAAAGUGCUGUUGAUUGUUUAAGAUCUAUAAAAAAAAUGUCUCGGGCAUGC
Long non-coding RNA from Drosophila ananassae, 619 nucleotides. RefSeq lists it as uncharacterized. The record is from RefSeq and is a predicted model, not a curated record. The transcript is spliced from 3 exons. Lineage: Eukaryota; Metazoa; Arthropoda; Insecta; Diptera; Drosophilidae.